RNAcentral lists this non-coding RNA (18 nucleotides) under Xenopus tropicalis (tropical clawed frog). RNAcentral also lists the same sequence under 1 other name. The record is from RNAcentral. Lineage: Eukaryota; Metazoa; Chordata; Amphibia; Anura; Pipidae.
AACUUUCAACAACGGAUC